UGUUCCUAAAUACGGCCCCGGGUCGGCUUCACAUCGGCUGUUGUGCAUGUCCGCCACGUGCGGAAAGCCUUGAGGCCAUGUAGCUCUCCCACCUGAUCCAUCGUGGAUCAAGGUCGUUCGGUGGGCAGCGGCAUCGCGGUGACGCC
RNAcentral lists this non-coding RNA (146 nucleotides) under Rhodanobacter sp. FW104-R5. RNAcentral describes it as "partial 6S RNA". It matches the Rfam family "6S / SsrS RNA", at positions 37 to 187 of the family's 187-position model. Rfam says of the family: E. coli 6S RNA was the first non coding RNA to be sequenced, but its function was unknown until recently. It consists of 184 nucleotides that fold into an extended hairpin structure with a large single-stranded internal bulge. Lineage: Bacteria; Pseudomonadati; Pseudomonadota; Gammaproteobacteria; Lysobacterales; Rhodanobacteraceae. The record is from RNAcentral.